ACAACAUUCGAACCGUCAGUCUACCGAAUAAUAUCACUCUUUUGGUAGAAGAUCCUGCCGUUGUUGU
RNAcentral lists this microRNA precursor (67 nucleotides) under Bombyx mori (domestic silkworm). RNAcentral describes it as "mir-2774 microRNA precursor family". It matches the Rfam family "mir-2774 microRNA precursor family". Lineage: Eukaryota; Metazoa; Arthropoda; Insecta; Lepidoptera; Bombycidae. The record is from Rfam by way of RNAcentral.